GACCCGCUUCUUUCCUAAAAGGAAGUGGCCUCAGAAUUUUCUCGCGGAGUAACCUCUUCGUAAACCCAGGUUCCCCAGGUCCCACGCCUGAGGGUGCUCGGAGCCGCCCUGGAGGGCAGCACGGACUGGCGGGUUCUUUUAAACCCACGGUGAAAACGUCCUCUGGAUGUUUCAUCUGAUGAAAGGCGCAUCCUUACUUUUCCAGUCUUGGUCACAUUCUCUCCUUUCCCUACCAAAGACUGGGUGGCACGGUCGCCCCCGAAGCGUGAAUUGGGGUUGAGGAGGAAGAACACCGUAAACGCUCUUUGAGUGGCCUGUGGCGUCUCUACUUCUUCACUAACCACUCCUGGUUUGGGCGGAUUCUCACACAAAAUUGUCUUGGCAAAACCUCAGCCUGACUCACGAUCAAGGGAUGCACCUGCAUUGAUCUUCUUGAAGGAGCUGUCCUUUGGCAGCCUGCUGGGAUUUCCUUCAAGAGGAGGAGAGGAAGGGAAACACUUGUCCAGGAUAAAGCCUAGCUCCCUAUAUAUCCGUUCCUCUAUGUGGAUGAAAUGUGAUGAUCCGCAGUCAACACCCUGCACAGCCAGCCUCUUCUCAGCAUCUGCCUUCAGAUAAACUAACCUGCAAUAGCUGACCUCACUGGUGUCAUUGAGCACAUCCAAAAUCAUUUUAAAUAUCUCUAGUGAAGAGUUUGAAUCCAGAUGCCCCCUGGUGGUUACGCCUUUAAUAUAGACUCUUCAAAUAUCUGUGGAAAUAACCAUGCAGACAUAACAAAGAAUAAAAAUGCACAACAUUGAUCA
RNAcentral lists this long non-coding RNA (800 nucleotides) under Sus scrofa (pig). RNAcentral's name for it is "lncRNA (ENSSSCG00040034136.1)". The record is from RNAcentral. Lineage: Eukaryota; Metazoa; Chordata; Mammalia; Artiodactyla; Suidae.